Molecule: long non-coding RNA, 2397 nt
Filed under: Myripristis murdjan (pinecone soldierfish)
Lineage: Eukaryota; Metazoa; Chordata; Actinopteri; Holocentriformes; Holocentridae
Description: lncRNA (ENSMMDG00005016357.1)
Source: RNAcentral
AUGUCUGAGGACUCCAGCAGUGAUGAGGAGUGGUGUGUGUCAGCAGACAAGCCGCCUGUUGGUGCGGACUCCAGGCAGAAGUGUUGGGAAUGUGGCAAGAUGUUCCAGCGCCUAGGAAAGCUGAUCUCACACUACAAAAGCCACGAUGUCCAGGCCACCUGCCACAUUUGCCAGGUGACUUUCCGGCGCAUGACGUCCCUCUCCACACACCUGGAUAAUGCACACUCGCCCUUCUGCAGAUUGUGCAAUAGGUGGUUCAGCAACGUGUGGGAGUUUAACAAGCACACGGCAGCACAUUAUAACAUUAAAGUGUCCCCUGGAACGCCGUCAAAUAGCUGUGUGACGCUACAUCAGGACAAGAACUGCGAAAACUCUGAUAAUGGGUUGACUGAUGACAUGGCUCUGCUCUCUCUCCCUACAUUUGCACAACCAAAGGAGGAGUACACACCUGUGGUUCAGGAUCACACAUAUAUUAGCAGCUGUGGAAAUGGGGAAGCUAUUCAGCACUUAGUUACAAAACAAAGCACUGAGACAAUGUCAGAAGCAAGGCCCCUAAAAAGAGGUGAGAUAAACCAUGAGCAACUUGAGAUAGUUGGUAAUCACAUUGACUAUAUCGUGGGGGAGAAUGAUUUUAAAGAUAUCAACGAGGGAAAUCAAACUGAUGAAGGCGAGAGCUCAGAUGACUCGAUGAGCUCUGAGGACAAUGACACGGGAAUGAGUGUGGAUGAUAGGGAUGGCAGAUCCUCACACGCGCAUGGAGAUGAACAGUUUGGAUAUGCGGGGGAGAAAAAUGACAAAGACACAUCUGAAUCUCUCCACUCUCAAUCUUCGGACUCAUCCUCAGAAGCUGACGUGCCAUCAGAAUAUGGCUUGAGCCCCUGUUCAAGUGGGUCUUCCAGUGACUCUUCGCUUGCUGCUGAGCAUCCCGACAGCGCCCCUGCAAACCCCCACAACACACUAUGCACUCUGUGUGGCAGAGGACCAUUUAGGAAUGUGAAAGUCCAUUUGCUGCACUGUCCUGGGAAACCGAAUCAGCCAGGACAGGGUUCGUCUUUUCACUGUUUAUUGUGCAAAGGGAACUUUGCCACUCUGACUCUCCUGGUUGAACACCAGAGGCGUUGGUAUUCCUGCAACUCGUGUGGCCAGGUUUUCCGUCACUGGAGCGCUUACAGGCACCACAUUUGCUCCAAGGGAAAACAGUCAAGUACUCACAGCAUUGUACUUUUUUGUUCUAAGUCAAUGCCAAAAUCAUGCAACAUAUGCAAUGCCUUUUUUUCUUCUGAGAAAAAUUUGUUAACUCAUGUGGUUACAGCUCACAGUACAAACUUCAGUACCAUUGUCUCUAAGCCACCUCCCCUGACUGAUAAGGUGGCACCAGAUGCCUCUGCCUCCAGAGGAGCCCAGUUACAGUUAGUCAAAGAUGUCCUGGUUUCCAGCAGUGCUGUGGCUUCUCAGAGCACCAUUGUCAAUGGGAAGCCCCCUGUCACUCAGUCUCUGGCCACAGUUUUGCAGUCGAGCCCUUCCUCCCCAUCCUCAUCCUCCCACCCAGGCUUGGUUCCCGUGUCAUCCACAUUAGUUAAUGGCGGGGCAACCAAUUUCACAAUUGUCCAACAGCCCUCCAUCAUCACUCAGGUCGUCCCACAGAGGAGCGCUACAAAUCCACAGGUGACUAGCCUGACGCAAAACACAAUUUUGUCCUCUCAGAAGAUAACUUCUUCCUCAUCAGCUGUCAGGCCACUUCCUCCUAUACUAAUGGCUGUUCCUACCACAAAUGUCAGAUCAGGGACAGACAGUGCCUUAUGUCAGGUGACAAACCAGCCUGCAGGACAGCUUUAUGCCCCACUAAUCUCUGUCAGUGACUCUAACAAAACUCCAGCUGUUGUAGCCGCUAACUCUGCACCUCCACUCACACCACCCGUAAAUAUUGUGGCCCUGUUUAAGAAUGACAGCCGGGAGAUGGCCCUGCAGAGGCGUAUGAACACCAGCUGGCGUUGCAAAGCCCCUUACCCCUGCAGGCAGUGUGGUGCCAUCUCACGGCAGCCAUCUCUCAUCAUCAGCCACCGCUACCUCCACCGUGGUCGCCGCUCACACCACUGCAAGUGUGGCCGUGCUUUCAAGCACCGGUUGCACCUCCUGCGGCACUGCAUGCAACAUGCAGAGGCAACCAGCUACAUCUGUGUCAGCUGUGGGGAAACUUUCACAGGAGCAAAACUCUUAGCGAAGCACAUGCAGGGCGAUUCAAGACAUACUUCUGGACGUACUUGGAAACUCAGAGCCAAAAGAAAGUGUAACAUGCCCUUUUCCUGUGACUGCGGACAGCUCUUUUUCAGGCCUUCUGCUUAUAUAUGGCACCAACUUAAAAACAGGGGAAGAGCAAAACGCCACAAAAAGUCCUGA